This 286-nucleotide long non-coding RNA is filed under the name Gossypium barbadense (sea-island cotton). RNAcentral describes it as "long non-coding RNA (GBAR_LNC012718)". The record is from RNAcentral. Lineage: Eukaryota; Viridiplantae; Streptophyta; Magnoliopsida; Malvales; Malvaceae.
GUGGGUCAGGAAGUUCACCGGCUAUAUUGGUUUCUUCUUUGAAAGAAGCAGACUCAGUUACCUUAGUGUCCUUAGCUUCAACCUUAGGCUCCUCCUCAACAGCCUCAGCAGGUUUGUCUUCAACAACAGCAUCAGCAGGCUUCUCGGGAGCAUCCUCCUGUUCACUCUCUUUCUCCACCACCACUUCCUCAGUAGGAGCAGGGGCUGCAGCAGCUUCAGGCUUUUGAGUCUCCUCAGCCAUGGAUGAGAUUGUAAACGAGAAAGAAAAAGAAAUGAAAAUGCAGAG